This 198-nucleotide non-coding RNA is filed under the name Clostridiaceae bacterium BL-3. Its description in RNAcentral is "T-box". It matches the Rfam family "T-box leader". From Rfam's summary of the family: Uncharged tRNA acts as the effector for transcription antitermination of genes in the T-box leader family. T-boxes are found upstream of many aminoacyl-tRNA synthetase genes and some amino acid biosynthetic genes usually in Gram-positive bacteria. The record is from RNAcentral. Lineage: Bacteria; Bacillati; Bacillota; Clostridia; Eubacteriales; Clostridiaceae.
AUAAAGACAAUGAUGAGGAAGAGUAAAUAGGGAAUAUUUUUUAGAGAGUGAGAUUUUGGUGGGAACUCAUAAAUACAACUAUUGAAGGUAGCCUUUAAGUUGUGAGCUGAACUUUGAGUAGGCUUUACCGGUAAUACCGUUAUUAUUCUGAGUAAAAAUUUUGGGUGGUACCGCGUGACCAAACUUCUCGCCCCAAGG